Molecule: unclassified non-coding RNA, 339 nt
Filed under: soil metagenome
Description: partial contains 5.8S ribosomal RNA, internal transcribed spacer 2, and large subunit ribosomal RNA
Rfam family: 5.8S ribosomal RNA (bases 1-120)
Source: RNAcentral
GAUGAAGAACGUAGCGAAAUGCGAUACGUAGUGUGAAUUGCAGAAUUCAGUGAAUCAUCGAAUCUUUGAACGUACAUUGCACCUCUCGGUAUUCCGGGAGGUAUGCCUGUUCGAGCGUCAUUUGUACCCUCAAGCUCUGCUUGGUGUUGGGUGUUUGUUCCGCCUCUGUGUGUGAACUCGCCUCAAAACAAUUGGCAGCCGGCGUACUUGUUUCGGAGCGCAGCACAUUUUGCGAUCCAGAUCAACGUACAGCGGCAUCCAAGAAGCCUUAUUUAACGCUCUUGACCUCGGAUCAGGUAGGGAUACCCGCUGAACUUAAGCAUAUCAAUAAGCGGAGGA